This 445-nucleotide ribosomal RNA is filed under the name uncultured bacterium. Its description in RNAcentral is "partial 16S ribosomal RNA". It matches the Rfam family "Bacterial small subunit ribosomal RNA", at positions 354 to 796 of the family's 1533-position model. The record is from RNAcentral.
GUGAGGAAUAUUGCGCAAUGGAGGCAACUCUGACGCAGCCAUGCCGCGUGCAGGAAGAAGGCGCUACGCGUUGUAAACUGCUUUUAACCGGGAAGAAACCCCAGGACGUGUCCUGGGUUGACGGUACCGGAGGAAUAAGCACCGGCUAACUUCGUGCCAGCAGCCGCGGUAAUACGAAGGGUGCAAGCGUUAUCCGGAUUCAUUGGGUUUAAAGGGUGCGUAGGCGGAGCGUUAAGUCAGUGGUGAAAUCCUGCAGCUUAACUGUAGACUUGCCACUGAUACUGGCGCUCUUGAGUGCGCUUGAAGUGGGCGGAAUGUGCCGUGUAGCGGUGAAAUGCUUAGAUAUGGCACAGAACACCAAUUGCGAAGGCAGCUCACUAAGGCGAUACUGACGCUGAGGCACGAAAGCGUGGGGAUCGAACAGGAUUAGAAACCCUAGUAGUCC